UAGGGAAUAUUGGACAAUGGGCGAAAGCCUGAUCCAGCAAUGCCGCGUGAGUGAUGAAGGCCUUAGGGUUGUAAAGCUCUUUUACCCGGGAUGAUAAUGACAGUACCGGGAGAAUAAGCCCCGGCUAACUCCGUGCCAGCAGCCGCGGUAAUACGGAGGGGGCUAGCGUUGUUCGGAAUUACUGGGCGUAAAGCGCACGUAGGCGGCUUUGUAAGUUAGAGGUGAAAGCCCGGGGCUCAACUCCGGAAUUGCCUUUAAGACUGCAUCGCUAGAAUUGUGGAGAGGUAAGUGGAAUUCCGAGUGUAGAGGUGAAAUUCGUAGAUAUUCGGAAGAACACCAGUGGCGAAGGCGACUUACUGGACACAUAUUGACGCUGAGGUGCGAAAGCGUGGGGAGCAAACA
RNAcentral lists this ribosomal RNA (402 nucleotides) under uncultured Sphingomonas sp. RNAcentral describes it as "bacterial SSU rRNA". It matches the Rfam family "Bacterial small subunit ribosomal RNA", at positions 355 to 774 of the family's 1533-position model. Lineage: Bacteria; Pseudomonadati; Pseudomonadota; Alphaproteobacteria; Sphingomonadales; Sphingomonadaceae. The record is from RNAcentral.